Molecule: ribosomal RNA, 504 nt
Filed under: uncultured bacterium
Lineage: Bacteria
Description: bacterial SSU rRNA
Rfam family: Bacterial small subunit ribosomal RNA
Source: RNAcentral
UGGCUCAGGACGAACGCUGGCGGCGUGCCUAACACAUGCAAGUCGAACGAGAAACCCAUUUGUGAUCCCUUCGGGGUGAACUGUUGGGUGGAAAGUGGCGGACGGGCGAGUAACGCGUGAGUAACCUGCCCAUAAGAGGGGGAUAAUCCUUGGAAACGAGGACUAAUACCGCAUAUUGAAAUUUUAUGGCAUCAUAGAAUUUUGAAAGAUUUAUCGCUUAUGGAUGGACUCGCGUCAGAUUAGCUGGUUGGUGAGGUAACGGCUCACCAAGGCGACGAUCUGUAGCCGAACUGAGAGGUUGAUCGGCCGCAUUGGGACUGAGACACGGCCCAGACUCCUACGGGAGGCAGCAGUGGGGAAUAUUGCGCAAUGGGGGAAACCCUGACGCAGCAACGCCGCGUGCAGGAAGAAGGUCUUCGGAUUGUAAACUGUUGUCGCAGGGGAAGAAGACAGUGACGGUACCCUGUGAGAAAGUCACGGCUAACUACGUGCCAGCAGCCGCGG